CCGACCUUAGCUCAGUUGGUAGAGCGGAGGACUGUAGUAGGCCAAUGGCUCAUAGAAAUCCUUAGGUCGCUGGUUCGAAUCCGGCAGGUCGGA
This 93-nucleotide transfer RNA is filed under the name Ricinus communis (castor bean). It matches the Rfam family "tRNA". From Rfam's summary of the family: Transfer RNA (tRNA) molecules are approximately 80 nucleotides in length. Their secondary structure includes four short double-helical elements and three loops (D, anti-codon, and T loops). Further hydrogen bonds mediate the characteristic L-shaped molecular structure. tRNAs have two regions of fundamental functional importance: the anti-codon, which is responsible for specific mRNA codon recognition, and the 3' end, to which the tRNAs corresponding amino acid is attached (by aminoacyl-tRNA synthetases). tRNAs cope with the degeneracy of the genetic code in two manners: having more than one tRNA (with a specific anti-codon) for a particular amino acid; and 'wobble' base-pairing, i.e. permitting non-standard base-pairing at the 3rd anti-codon position. Lineage: Eukaryota; Viridiplantae; Streptophyta; Magnoliopsida; Malpighiales; Euphorbiaceae. The record is from Rfam by way of RNAcentral.